AGACCCGAAACCCGGUGAUCUAGCCAUGGGCAGGUUGAAGGUUGGGUAACACUAACUGGAGGACCGAACCGACUAAUGUUGAAAAAUUAGCGGAUGACCUGUGGCUGGGGGUGAAAGGCCAAUCAAACCGGGAGAUAGCUGGUUCUCCCCGAAAGCUAUUUAGGUAGCGCCUCGUGAAUUCAUCUCCGGGGGUAGAGCACUGUUUCGGCUAGGGGGCCAUCCCGGCUUACCAACCCGAUGCAAACUGCGAAUACCGGAGAAUGUUAUCACGGGAGACACACGGCGGGUGCUAACGUCCGUCGUGAAGAGGGAAACAACCCAGACCGCCAGCUAAGGUCCCAAAGUCAUGGUUAAGUGGGAAACGAUGUGGGAAGGCCCAGACAGCCAGGAUGUUGGCUUAGAAGCAGCCAUCAUUUAAAGAAAGCGUAAUAGCUCACUGGUCGAGUCGGCCUGCGCGGAAGAUGUAACGGGGCUAAACCAUGCACCGAAGCUGCGGCAGCGACGCUUAUGCGUUGUUGGGUAGGGGAGCGUUCUGUAAGCCUGUGAAGGUGUGUCGUGAGGCAUGCUGGAGGUAUCAGAAGUGCGAAUGCUGACAUAAGUAACGAUAAAGCGGGUGAAAAGCCCGCUCGCCGGAAGACCAAGGGUUCCUGUCCAACGUUAAUCGGGGCAGGGUGAGUCGACCCCUAAGGCGAGGCCGAAAGGCGUAGUCGAUGGGAAACGGGUUAAUAUUCCCGUACUUGGUGUUACUGCGAAGGGGGGACGGAGAAGGC
This 770-nucleotide ribosomal RNA is filed under the name Salmonella enterica subsp. enterica serovar Paratyphi B var. L(+) tartrate +. RNAcentral's name for it is "partial 23S ribosomal RNA". It matches the Rfam family "Bacterial large subunit ribosomal RNA", at positions 711 to 1482 of the family's 2925-position model. Lineage: Bacteria; Pseudomonadati; Pseudomonadota; Gammaproteobacteria; Enterobacterales; Enterobacteriaceae. The record is from RNAcentral.